This 253-nucleotide ribosomal RNA is filed under the name uncultured bacterium. RNAcentral's name for it is "partial 16S ribosomal RNA". It matches the Rfam family "Bacterial small subunit ribosomal RNA", at positions 524 to 776 of the family's 1533-position model. The record is from RNAcentral.
GACGUAGGGGGCCAGCGUUGUUCGGAAUUACUGGGCGUAAAGGGUUCGUAGGCGGUGUAGCAAGUCGGGAGUGAAAUCUCUGGGCUUAACCCAGAGGCUGCUUCCGAAACUGCUGUGCUUGAGUGUGGGAGAGGCGCGUGGAAUUGCAGGUGUAGCGGUGAAAUGCGUAGAUAUCUGCAGGAACACCCGUGGCGAAAGCGGCGCGCUGGACCACUACUGACGCUGAGGAACGAAAGCUAGGGGAGCAAACAGG